Molecule: long non-coding RNA, 3584 nt
Organism: Gallus gallus (chicken)
Lineage: Eukaryota; Metazoa; Chordata; Aves; Galliformes; Phasianidae
Source: Ensembl
CACCUCUGCAGCUAUGAUAGGCCAAGGACUGUUUUAAACUCCUAACUGUGUCACAGCAAUUGACUGACUGAAAGCAGCCAUUCUGUGAGUAGUAGUAGUUACUCAGGAGAUAAAUAUCUUCAAGGCUUGUCCUUUCUAGAGAAAAUACUAGUGAGCCCACCACUGAUAACGCUGCAUUUUGUGCACCGCAGGCAGUAACACUGGAAGCUGUGCUGUGUCUAGCUCACUGCCAGCAGCACUUCAAAAGUCACCAUGCUUAGGCUUGUUGUUAGCCAGGUAGACAACACGGGGCAUAAAACACUGGAGACAGCAGGUUUAUGCUGCUGCUCCAUUAGCUGCUGCCUAUGAAGUUUCUUUUCUGGUACUCACAAGAGUAAGCAGUCCAAAUCCAUCCUGAGCAGGUAAUUAAAAGUAUCAUGAAUUGACUUAUCUGAGGAAAGCCUCAGGCUAUGAAGAUACAAACACAAGGUGCUUCAGUUAGCAAAGGCAAGCAGAAGAAAGGGGAAAUAAUAAAUUGAAAUUUUCAGUUCUUUCAUGUUCAGUCUUUUGGCCUUUAGGUACCUUGAGAUCAGUCCGGAAAUAUUUAUGUAAAAACUCUGUAGUUCUUUCCAACAAUUCAACAUCAAAAUCAACAGAUUUCUGUUUGAUGUAGAACUGACAACACUAUAACCUGCUCCCAGGAAAGGGUUGCAAAUAAAACUAUAUACAUCAACACGAGAGAAGGUAAUGUAAUGACUUGUCCCUUCCCCAAAGCAGCAAAGAGCAACUAGAAAAAAAGCAGGACCAAGAUUUUCAGUGCUUACAUUAGAAUUAACAGAAAAGAAACUAAAUAUGUGUAGAUAAAUAUGUAUGUACAUAUAAACAGAUAAACUAGUGUCCAGGAUAAUAAAUGAACAACAAUCAGUAAUAGAACCAGCAGGUUUAUAUCUGAAAGACCUGUUUAAUUAUUCCUUUUCACUUUAUAAGCUCUUCUUAAUUAUUUUUUAAAGCAUUUCAAUUAUAAAUGCAGAACGUAUUUUUAUGUGUGGUAGAGGGAAAAGGACCAGGAAAACUCAUCAUAAUCCAUUAUUAAACGUUCAGAUGUGAAAAAGAGCAGUAGGAAGAAUGCAGCUGCGUGUGCACUUGGCUUGCUUCUACAAAGAUGUGCAGCAGAGGGCACCACAGAUGGCACACAGGAGAGUGCUGCUUUGAAGCUGUUAGGCUCUGCUCCGUAAUUACACAGCUCUGAUAAAACAGGUACGAUUGGGCGCAGAGACAGAAGUUGCUCAGCCAUGGGAAGACCCGCCAUGCUCUCCCUCUCACUGGCCACGCCAUGGAUCUGUGCAGCAAUGGAGCACCUGAAUGCAGUAAUGGAGGAGAAAGAAGAAAGCAUUGCCAUCCUUCUAUUUUGCCAAGAGGAGGAAAACAGCAUGGAGCCAUACGACGCAGAAAAAUGUCUGCAUGCUGAGAGCGGUGCUGCACACAGCUCGUGUCCUGUGCGUGAAUUUCGUUUGCAAAAGAACUGCCGGGAUUGUUCUGCAAAGAGCACCCACUCCUCCAGCCCGGCCCUCCCCGGGCGCUCUCACUGCUUCGCUUCCUCCUUCUGGCUGUGAAGUCUGAAAGGAGCUCACGGAGGAGCAACGGGAUCAGUGCUCCCCUCUCACCCUCUGCUGCAGAAGAAGAAAGAGGUUUGAUUAAGUCCUCUAAAAGUAUUAAGGCUGAAUCAGACCACAAAAAGGAAAACAAACAAACAAACAAACAAACCCGUGCUCUAUGCUCACAAAAAAUGUCACCUUCCUAACGGCUGCAGUCAAAUCCUUUAGAGCCGGUAUUUACAAUCAAAUGUAUUCAAAUAUCUCCGAGCCCUAACGCAGAUGACACCAAAAGGACCAUUUGCUAUAACUUAAACAAGUGCUCUGUAGUUCUCGGUUUAGCUCCUAAGGAAAACCGAAGGAAGGACCUACUGCCAGGGAUGCACACACACACACACACACACACACACACACACACACGCAUAUUUCAUCCAACCCACCGCUACCAGCCCCGGGUCGCACUGAUUAACACUUUUCACGUAAACACACUUUUUCUUCCUUGAAAUGUUAAUGCCUGCUUAGUGCAAGGUGAAAGUCUAUCCAAAGACCGAAUCCCUUAAGAGUGUUAAUUAAACAGGACAAUAAUAAUCCACCGGUGAUUUAUGGCGAGGUGGAUGACUAGACCAUAGUGGUUGGUCUGAUAGGCAUUUAUUGCCUACUUAACCAUUUAAGUAUAACAAAAAAAAUCAUUGUGGUACAAAAGGUGAUGAAUGUUGCUGCUAAAACAGUCCAUUAAGAUGAUUCAUUAACAUUACAAAGAGGUCUGCAGCCUCUGUGCCACUUGGAGCCCGUAAAAGUCUGGGAAAGUGAGAGACAUUACCAUAGGAAAUGCUUUAUGCUAAAUGCGUGCUGAUAGAAUCUGAAGUCCACUUUCUGCAGAUAACAUCACUUUUUACAUUUUGCACUACAAGGUCCGAGGAUGCUUUGUACUUCUUAUUUCUGCAGCUAGAGAAUGUAUCUUCCUAACAGAGCAGCGCGGGAGGAGAGGAGUAAUAAAAGUCACAAUGCUCUGGCACACAUCUGAGCCUUUCAUACUUCCCUUUGAACUGAUGUCACUGGAAUGCCGAACCGCUGGUUGCACCACUGCGGAGCGACCGAGAGCCAUGAGUUAUAGUCACAGUGGUUACAACUUUAUUAAAUGCACACCAAGAAAAGCUACUACAAUGAUCUUCCCAGGUCAAAUAACAGCGGAUUCCUGCUGUGGGACAGCAAGGAGAUGUGCCACGGAUGGAUGAUACAUGAAACAGUAUAAGGGUUAAAUCAGAGUGUAAAUGUAUCUAAAAAUACCAAAUUAUGAUCUCAGUACCUUCCUAACAAGUGAUUCCCAGUAACUAAUGAAGCCUGACUCCUUAUGGAUUUAUGCCACAUCUCUCACACCUCCCCAUCAGAACAACACCCACUGUCCUCUGCCAUAGCUGUGCUGUAAUAACGCCCCGGUGUCCCUUAGCCAGCCCCAGGCUUUUUGGAUUUGCCAGCUGAAGAAAACAGUGCAUUUGCUAAGGAGUGAUAGAGUGAUCUGCAAAUCAGAAUCAUUUGCUGCUGUCAGCCAUGAUGAAGAAUUGCUAAAUUCUGCCUUCUUCUCGAUGGGAGCAUUAAUAAGAACUCCCUCCUCUUGGUAGGUGCUAACUCUUGCAAAAUUGCUAAGGACACAGCACCUUUGAAACUCCUCUGCAACCUGUGACAAAUGUGUCAGCAUAUUGGAAACUGGGUCAGACAAAUAAGGAGAUUGUGUAAGCAGUUCCCCAGGGAGCCAGACGAAGAGGCAUGAUAGGAUCUCCACUGACCAGAAGUUGCUAGAGUCUUGUUUAUGUACUUCAUCUGAGGUGGAGCAUCCCCCAGUGCUUCCUCAAUUACAGGAAGUGUGUGCAGCACCUGUUCAGACUACCUGGGCUAGCUGCAAACAAGCUAGACUGGGUUCCAGGAGCACAGGACACUUGCUAACAAAUUCUGCUUCUCAGUAUGUAAUUAGCCUACUUUACUUCUCAGUAAAUGAAUUAGCACAGCUACACUACA